GAGUUCCAGUUGAACGAGAGGCAGUGUCUAGUGGUUGCUGUGAGACAUGCAGUUUGAGAGUGUGUGUUACCACAAGAAAGCCUUAAACCUGCUCAAUCUUACCCCUGUUGCUCUGGGCAUAGCCUCGACACCGGAGAACCCAGGCGAGCUCUGCGACCGAUGUGGCCGGAGUUGACCAAGGUGUGGUCCGAGUUCCAGUUGAAGGAGAGGCAGUGUCUAGUGGUUGCUGUGAGACAUGCAGUUUGAGAGUGUGUGUUACCACAAGAAAGCCUUAAACCUGCUCAAUCUUACCCCUGUUGCUCUGGGCAUAGCCUCGACACCGGAGAACCCAGGCGAGCUCUGCGACCGAUGUGGCCGGAGUUGACCAAGGUGUGGUCCGAGUUCCAGUUGAAGGAGAGGCAGUGUCUAGCGGUUGCUGUGAAACAUGCAGUUUGAGAGUGUGUGUUACCACAAGAAAGCCUUAAACCUGCUCAAUCUUACCCCUGUUGCUCUGGGCAUAGCCUCCACACCGGAGAACCCAGGCGAGCUCUGCGACCGAUGUGGCCGGAGUUGACCAAGGUGUGGUCCGAGUUCCAGUUGAAGGAAAGGCAGUGUCUAGCGGUUGCUGUGAGACAUCCUGUUUGAGAGUGUGUUACCACAAGAAAGCUUUGAACCUGCUCAGUCUUACCCCUGUUGCUCUGGGCACAUUCUCGACACCGGAGAACCCAGGCGAGCUCUGCGACCGAUGUGGCCGGAGUUGACCUAGGUGGGGUCCGAGUUCCAGUUGAAGGAAAGCCAGUGUCUAGCGGUUGCUGUGAGACAUCCUGUUUGAGAGUGUGUUACCACAAGAAAGCUUUGAACCUGCUCAGUCUUACCCCUGUUGCUCUGGGCACAUUCUCGACACCGGAAAACCCAGGCGAGCUCCGUGACCGAUGU
This is a long non-coding RNA of Ixodes scapularis (black-legged tick), 915 nucleotides long. RefSeq lists it as uncharacterized. The record is from RefSeq and is a predicted model, not a curated record. The transcript has 5 exons. NCBI's taxonomy places the organism in Eukaryota, Metazoa, Arthropoda, Arachnida, Ixodida, Ixodidae.